RNAcentral lists this ribosomal RNA (727 nucleotides) under Pseudomonas helleri. RNAcentral describes it as "bacterial SSU rRNA". It matches the Rfam family "Bacterial small subunit ribosomal RNA", at positions 1 to 723 of the family's 1533-position model. The record is from RNAcentral. Lineage: Bacteria; Pseudomonadati; Pseudomonadota; Gammaproteobacteria; Pseudomonadales; Pseudomonadaceae.
GAACUGAAGAGUUUGAUCAUGGCUCAGAUUGAACGCUGGCGGCAGGCCUAACACAUGCAAGUCGAGCGGUAGAGAGAAGCUUGCUUCUCUUGAGAGCGGCGGACGGGUGAGUAAUACCUAGGAAUCUGCCUGAUAGUGGGGGAUAACGUUCGGAAACGGACGCUAAUACCGCAUACGUCCUACGGGAGAAAGCAGGGGACCUUCGGGCCUUGCGCUAUCAGAUGAGCCUAGGUCGGAUUAGCUAGUUGGUGAGGUAAUGGCUCACCAAGGCUACGAUCCGUAACUGGUCUGAGAGGAUGAUCAGUCACACUGGAACUGAGACACGGUCCAGACUCCUACGGGAGGCAGCAGUGGGGAAUAUUGGACAAUGGGCGAAAGCCUGAUCCAGCCAUGCCGCGUGUGUGAAGAAGGUCUUCGGAUUGUAAAGCACUUUAAGUUGGGAGGAAGGGCAGUAAAUUAAUACUUUGCUGUUUUGACGUUACCGACAGAAUAAGCACCGGCUAACUCUGUGCCAGCAGCCGCGGUAAUACAGAGGGUGCAAGCGUUAAUCGGAAUUACUGGGCGUAAAGCGCGCGUAGGUGGUUUGUUAAGUUGAAUGUGAAAUCCCCGGGCUCAACCUGGGAACUGCAUCCAAAACUGGCAAGCUAGAGUAUGGUAGAGGGUAGUGGAAUUUCCUGUGUAGCGGUGAAAUGCGUAGAUAUAGGAAGGAACACCAGUGGCGAAGGCG